RNAcentral lists this ribosomal RNA (729 nucleotides) under Plectania megalocrater. Its description in RNAcentral is "eukaryotic LSU rRNA". It matches the Rfam family "Eukaryotic large subunit ribosomal RNA", at positions 86 to 830 of the family's 3401-position model. Lineage: Eukaryota; Fungi; Ascomycota; Pezizomycetes; Pezizales; Sarcosomataceae. The record is from RNAcentral.
ACUGCGAGUGAAGCGGCAAAAGCUCAAAUUUGAAAUCUGGUACCUUUGGGUGCCCGAGUUGUAAUUUGGAGAGGCAACUUCGAGGGAGGCGCUGGCCUAAGUUCCUUGGAACAGGACGUCACAGAGGGUGAGAAUCCCGUGCUUGGCUGGCUGUCCUCCUUCAUGUGAAGUGUCUUCGACGAGUCGAGUUGUUUGGGAAUGCAGCUCAAAAUGGGUGGUAAACUCCAUCUAAGGCUAAAUAUUGGCGAGAGACCGAUAGCGCACAAGUAGAGUGAUCGAAAGAUGAAAAGCACUUUGAAAAGAGAGUUAAAAAGUACGUGAAAUUGUUGAAAGGGAAGCGCUUGAGACCAGACUCGGUGAUUGGUGAUCAGCGGUUGCUUUUGCUCCGUGCACUUGCCUUUUACUGGGCCAGCAUCAGUUGUGACGGCGGGAUAAAGACUCAGGGAAUGUAGCUCUCUUCGGGGAGUGUUAUAGCCCUGGGUGUAAUGCCGCCUGUUACGACUGAGGACCGCGCUUCGGCUAGGAUGCUGGCAUAAUGGUCUUCAGCGACCCGUCUUGAAACACGGACCAAGGAGUCUAACAUCUAUGCGAGUGUUCGGGUGUAAAACCCCUACGCGUAAUGAAAGUGAACGGAGGUGGGAACUCUUUGGAGUGCACCAUCGACCGAUCCUGAUGUCUUCGGAUGGAUUUGAGUAGGAGCAUAGCUGUUGGGACCCGAAAGAUGGUGAA